RNAcentral lists this ribosomal RNA (253 nucleotides) under uncultured bacterium. RNAcentral's name for it is "partial 16S ribosomal RNA". It matches the Rfam family "Bacterial small subunit ribosomal RNA", at positions 524 to 776 of the family's 1533-position model. The record is from RNAcentral.
UACGGGGGGGGCAAGCGUUGUUCGGAAUUACUGGGCGUAAAGGGCUCGUAGGCGGCCAACUAAGUCAGACGUGAAAUCCCUCGGCUUAACCGGGGAACUGCGUCUGAUACUGGAUGGCUAGAGGUUGGGAGAGGGAUGCGGAAUUCCAGGUGUAGCGGUGAAAUGCGUAGAUAUCUGGAGGAACACCGGUGGCGAAGGCGGCAUCCUGGACCGGUAUUGACGCUGAGGAGCGAAAGCCAGGGGAGCAAACGGG